UUAAGCGACUAAGCGUACACGGUGGAUGCCCUGGCAGUCAGAGGCGAUGAAGGACGUGCUAAUCUGCGAUAAGCGUCGGUAAGGUGAUAUGAACCGUUAUAACCGGCGAUUUCCGAAUGGGGAAACCCAGUGUGAUUCGUCACACUAUCAUUAACUGAAUCCAUAGGUUAAUGAGGCGAACCGGGGGAACUGAAACAUCUAAGUACCCCGAGGAAAAGAAAUCAACCGAGAUUCCCCCAGUAGCGGCGAGCGAACGGGGAGCAGCCCAGAGCCUGAAUCAGUAUGUGUGUUAGUGGAAGCGUCUGGAAAGGCGCGCGAUACAGGGUGACAGCCCCGUACACAAAAAUGCACAUGCUGUGAGCUCGAUGAGUAGGGCGGGACACGUGGUAUCCUGUCUGAAUAUGGGGGGACCAUCCUCCAAGGCUAAAUACUCCUGACUGACCGAUAGUGAACCAGUACCGUGAGGGAAAGGCGAAAAGAACCCCGGCGAGGGGAGUGAAAAAGAACCUGAAACCGUGUACGUACAAGCAGUGGGAGCACGCUUAGGCGUGUGACUGCGUACCUUUUGUAUAAUGGGUCAGCGACUUAUAUUCUGUAGCAAGGUUAACCGAAUAGGGGAGCCGAAGGGAAACCGAGUCUUAACUGGGCGUUAAGUUGCAGGGUAUAGACCCGAAACCCGGUGAUCUAGCCAUGGGCAGGUUGAAGGUUGGGUAACACUAACUGGAGGACCGAACCGACUAAUGUUGAAAAAUUAGCGGAUGACUUGUGGCUGGGGGUGAAAGGCCAAUCAAACCGGGAGAUAGCUGGUUCUCCCCGAAAGCUAUUUAGGUAGCGCCUCGUGAAUUCAUCUCCGGGGGUAGAGCACUGUUUCGGCAAGGGGGUCAUCCCGACUUACCAACCCGAUGCAAACUGCGAAUACCGGAGAAUGUUAUCACGGGAGACACACGGCGGGUGCUAACGUCCGUCGUGAAGAGGGAAACAACCCAGACCGCCAGCUAAGGUCCCAAAGUCAUGGUUAAGUGGGAAACGAUGUGGGAAGGCCCAGACAGCCAGGAUGUUGGCUUAGAAGCAGCCAUCAUUUAAAGAAAGCGUAAUAGCUCACUGGUCGAGUCGGCCUGCGCGGAAGAUGUAACGGGGCUAAACCAUGCACCGAAGCUGCGGCAGCGACGCUGAUGCGUUGUUGGGUAGGGGAGCGUUCUGUAAGCCUGUGAAGGUGUACUGUGAGGUAUGCUGGAGGUAUCAGAAGUGCGAAUGCUGACAUAAGUAACGAUAAAGCGGGUGAAAAGCCCGCUCGCCGGAAGACCAAGGGUUCCUGUCCAACGUUAAUCGGGGCAGGGUGAGUCGACCCCUAAGGCGAGGCCGAAAGGCGUAGUCGAUGGGAAACAGGUUAAUAUUCCUGUACUUGGUGUUACUGCGAAGGGGGGACGGAGAAGGCUAUGUUGGCCGGGCGACGGUUGUCCCGGUUUAAGCGUGUAGGCUGGUUUUCCAGGCAAAUCCGGAAAAUCAAGGCUGAGGCGUGAUGACGAGGCACUACGGUGCUGAAGCAACAAAUGCCCUGCUUCCAGGAAAAGCCUCUAAGCAUCAGGUAACAUCAAAUCGUACCCCAAACCGACACAGGUGGUCAGGUAGAGAAUACCAAGGCGCUUGAGAGAACUCGGGUGAAGGAACUAGGCAAAAUGGUGCCGUAACUUCGGGAGAAGGCACGCUGAUAUGUAGGUGAAGUCCCUCGCGGAUGGAGCUGAAAUCAGUCGAAGAUACCAGCUGGCUGCAACUGUUUAUUAAAAACACAGCACUGUGCAAACACGAAAGUGGACGUAUACGGUGUGACGCCUGCCCGGUGCCGGAAGGUUAAUUGAUGGGGUCAGCGCAAGCGAAGCUCUUGAUCGAAGCCCCGGUAAACGGCGGCCGUAACUAUAACGGUCCUAAGGUAGCGAAAUUCCUUGUCGGGUAAGUUCCGACCUGCACGAAUGGCGUAAUGAUGGCCAGGCUGUCUCCACCCGAGACUCAGUGAAAUUGAACUCGCUGUGAAGAUGCAGUGUACCCGCGGCAAGACGGAAAGACCCCGUGAACCUUUACUAUAGCUUGACACUGAACAUUGAGCCUUGAUGUGUAGGAUAGGUGGGAGGCUUUGAAGUGUGGACGCCAGUCUGCAUGGAGCCGACCUUGAAAUACCACCCUUUAAUGUUUGAUGUUCUAACGUUGACCCGUAAUCCGGGUUGCGGACAGUGUCUGGUGGGUAGUUUGACUGGGGCGGUCUCCUCCUAAAGAGUAACGGAGGAGCACGAAGGUUGGCUAAUCCUGGUCGGACAUCAGGAGGUUAGUGCAAUGGCAUAAGCCAGCUUGACUGCGAGCGUGACGGCGCGAGCAGGUGCGAAAGCAGGUCAUAGUGAUCCGGUGGUUCUGAAUGGAAGGGCCAUCGCUCAACGGAUAAAAGGUACUCCGGGGAUAACAGGCUGAUACCGCCCAAGAGUUCAUAUCGACGGCGGUGUUUGGCACCUCGAUGUCGGCUCAUCACAUCCUGGGGCUGAAGUAGGUCCCAAGGGUAUGGCUGUUCGCCAUUUAAAGUGGUACGCGAGCUGGGUUUAGAACGUCGUGAGACAGUUCGGUCCCUAUCUGCCGUGGGCGCUGGAGAACUGAGGGGGGCUGCUCCUAGUACGAGAGGACCGGAGUGGACGCAUCACUGGUGUUCGGGUUGUCAUGCCAAUGGCACUGCCCGGUAGCUAAAUGCGGAAGAGAUAAGUGCUGAAAGCAUCUAAGCACGAAACUUGCCCCGAGAUGAGUUCUCCCUGACUCCUUGAGAGUCCUGAAGGAACGUUGAAGACGACGACGUUGAUAGGCCGGGUGUGUAAGCGCAGCGAUGCGUUGAGCUAACCGGUACUAAUGAACCGUGAGGCUUAACCUU
This 2902-nucleotide ribosomal RNA is filed under the name Escherichia coli. Its description in RNAcentral is "bacterial LSU rRNA". It matches the Rfam family "Bacterial large subunit ribosomal RNA". Lineage: Bacteria; Pseudomonadati; Pseudomonadota; Gammaproteobacteria; Enterobacterales; Enterobacteriaceae. The record is from RNAcentral.